This 254-nucleotide ribosomal RNA is filed under the name uncultured bacterium. RNAcentral describes it as "partial 16S ribosomal RNA". It matches the Rfam family "Bacterial small subunit ribosomal RNA", at positions 524 to 776 of the family's 1533-position model. The record is from RNAcentral.
UACGUAGGGCGCAAGCGUUAUCCGGAAUUAUUGGGCGUAAAGAGCUCGUAGGCGGUUUGUCGCGUCUGCCGUGAAAGCCCGGGGCUCAACCCCGGGAGGCGGAUGGAUACUGCAGGGCUCGAGUACGGAAGAGGCGAGUGGAAUUCCCGGUGAGCGGUGAAAUGCGCAGAUAUCGGGAAGGAACACCAAUGGCGGAAGGCAGCUCGCUGGGACGUUACUGACGCUGAGACGCGAAAGCGUGGGGAGCAAACAGG